This 405-nucleotide ribosomal RNA is filed under the name Blastocystis sp. subtype 1. RNAcentral describes it as "SSU rRNA". It matches the Rfam family "Eukaryotic small subunit ribosomal RNA", at positions 538 to 954 of the family's 1831-position model. Lineage: Eukaryota; Bigyra; Opalinata; Blastocystidae. The record is from RNAcentral.
CGAUAAGCCAUUGGAGGGGAAGUCUGGUGCCAGCAGCCGCGGUAAUUCCAGCUCCAAUAGCGUAUAUUAACGUUGUUGCAGUUAAAAAGCUCGUAGUUGAAGUGUGGGUGAUCGCUGUUGUGAGACUUCGGUCUCUCGACAGUAAGUCACCCCCUUCCAGUAUCCAGUAGUGGGUAUUCACUUACUUACUACUGUGUGUUGGUCCUUUACUGUGAGAAAAUUAGAGUGUUCAAAGCAGGCGUUUGCUUGAAUAGAUUAGCAUGGAAUAAUAAUUGAAGGCUUUCGUGUUCGAUUUGAUUGGUUUGUUCAUGGAAGCAAGGUUAAAAGGAACAGUUGGGGGUAUUCAUAUUCACUAGUUAGAGGUGAAAUUCUCGGAUUUAUGGAAGAUGAACAAGGCGAAAGCAA